GUAAUAACGUUGAAAGGGAAUAGUAGACAGCGAACCCUUCAGAGAGCGGAGCCGGCAAGAGGCUGGAAGGUUCCGCAGGACGUACCUGUUGAAGUCGCCCCGGAGUUGCCGAAUUGAAAGCGAACCCUAGAUUCGGCCGGUUACAGCCGUUAUCUGUUUGAGUGCCGUAUUUUGACCGGAGAGGACUCCGCGAGAAUUUAUGCCUAAGUACGGAAUAAAGGUGGUACCACGGAAGCGAGAGCCUUUCGUCCUUUGC
RNAcentral lists this non-coding RNA (256 nucleotides) under Paenibacillus naphthalenovorans. RNAcentral describes it as "T-box sequence". It matches the Rfam family "T-box leader". From Rfam's summary of the family: Uncharged tRNA acts as the effector for transcription antitermination of genes in the T-box leader family. The record is from RNAcentral. Lineage: Bacteria; Bacillati; Bacillota; Bacilli; Caryophanales; Paenibacillaceae.